RNAcentral lists this ribosomal RNA (253 nucleotides) under uncultured bacterium. RNAcentral describes it as "partial 16S ribosomal RNA". It matches the Rfam family "Bacterial small subunit ribosomal RNA", at positions 524 to 776 of the family's 1533-position model. The record is from RNAcentral.
UACGUAGGGGGCAAGCGUUGUCCGGAAUCAUUGGGCGUAAAGCGCGUGUAGGCGGUUCGGUAAGUCGGCUGUGAAAGUCCAGGGCUCAACCCUGGGAUGCCGGUCGAUACUGUCGGACUAGAGUUCGGAAGAGGCGAGUGGAAUUCCCGGUGUAGCGGUGAAAUGCGCAGAUAUCGGGAGGAACACCUAUGGCGAAGGCAGCUCGCUGGGACGUUACUGACGCUGAGACGCGAAAGCGUGGGGAGCAAACAGG